Molecule: ribosomal RNA, 254 nt
Filed under: uncultured bacterium
Lineage: Bacteria
Description: partial 16S ribosomal RNA
Rfam family: Bacterial small subunit ribosomal RNA
Source: RNAcentral
UACGUAGGGUGCGAGCGUUGUCCGGAAUUAUUGGGCGUAAAGGGCUCGUAGGCGGUCUGUCGCGUCGGGAGUGAAAACUCAGGGCUUAACCCUGAGCCUGCUUCCGAUACGGGCAGACUAGAGGUAUGCAGGGGGAGAACGGAAUUCCUGGUGUAGCGGUGGAAUGCGCAGAUAUCGGGAAGAACACCCGUGGCGAAGGCGGCUCUCUGGAACGGUACUGACGCUGAGACGCGAAAGCGUGGGGAGCGAACAGG